GGACAGUAUGUAGGGAGCUGUAUCAGCGCUCAGCGGUGGCCCGGUUGAUUGCAUUAGUGCUUGCACCUGAUUGAUUUUGGCCGCCAACGAGUGGCGGACGGGUGAGUAACACGUAGGUAACCUGCCCAGAAGCGGGGGACAACAUUUGGAAACAGAUGCUAAUACCGCAUAACAACGUUGUUCGCAUGAACAACGCUUAAAAGAUGGCUUCUCGCUAUCACUUCUGGAUGGACCUGCGGUGCAUUAGCUUGUUGGUGGGGUAAUGGCCUACCAAGGCGAUGAUGCAUAGCCGAGUUGAGAGACUGAUCGGCCACAAUGGGACUGAGACACGGCCCAUACUCCUACGGGAGGCAGCAGUAGGGAAUCUUCCACAAUGGGCGCAAGCCUGAUGGAGCAACACCGCGUGAGUGAAGAAGGGUUUCGGCUCGUAAAGCUCUGUUGUUAAAGAAGAACACGUAUGAGAGUAACUGUUCAUACGUUGACGGUAUUUAACCAGAAAGUCACGGCUAACUACGUGCCAGCAGCCGCGGUAAUACGUAGGUGGCAAGCGUUAUCCGGAUUUAUUGGGCGUAAAGAGAGUGCAGGCGGUUUUCUAAGUCUGAUGUGAAAGCCUUCGGCUUAACCGGAGAAGUGCAUCGGAAACUGGAUAACUUGAGUGCAGAAGAGGGUAGUGGAACUCCAUGUGUAGCGGUGGAAUGCGUAGAUAUAUGGAAGAACACCAGUGGCGAAGGCGGCUACCUGCUCUGCAACUGACGCUGAAACUCGAAAGCAUGGGUAGCGAACAGGAUUAGAUACCCUGGUAGUCCAUGCCGUAACGAUGAGUGCUAGGUGUUGGAGGGUUUCCGCCCUUCAGUGGCGGGAGCUAACGCAUUAAGGCCACUCCGUCCUGGGGGAGUACCGACCGGCAUGGAU
Molecule: ribosomal RNA, 912 nt
Filed under: Limosilactobacillus fermentum
Lineage: Bacteria; Bacillati; Bacillota; Bacilli; Lactobacillales; Lactobacillaceae
Description: bacterial SSU rRNA
Rfam family: Bacterial small subunit ribosomal RNA
Source: RNAcentral